RNAcentral lists this ribosomal RNA (374 nucleotides) under uncultured organism. RNAcentral describes it as "bacterial SSU rRNA". It matches the Rfam family "Bacterial small subunit ribosomal RNA", at positions 526 to 896 of the family's 1533-position model. The record is from RNAcentral.
CGGGGGGAGCAAGCGUUGUUCGGAUUUACUGGGCGUAAAGGGCGCGUAGGCGGCGCAACAAGUCACUUGUGAAAUCUCCGGGCUUAACCCGGAGCGGCCAAGUGAUACUGUCGUGCUAGAGUGCGGAAGGGGCUACUGGAAUUCUCGGUGUAGCGGUGAAAUGCGUAGAUAUCGAGAGGAACACCUGCGGCGAAGGCGGGUAGCUGGGCCGACACUGACGCUGAGGCGCGAAGGCCAGGGGGAGCGAACGGGAUUAGAUACCCCGGUAGUCCUGGCCUUAAACGAUGGAUGCUUGGUGUCCGGGGUUACAUAGUCCCCGGGUGCCGGCGCUAACGCAUUAAGCAUCCCGCCUGGGGAGUACGGUCGCAAGACUG